CCACCCUGUCCCGCAGCUUUUUUUGUAUUUUUUCACAUUCUCUCAUUUACACUCUGCUUCCUGCAGUGUGCGGCAGCUGCCUCUGCCUCUGCCAUGACUCUGCAGUGUUUGGCUCUAGGGAAGGGGGCGAGCUAAAGGAGCGUGUUGGCGUGAGAAGUGUUGUAGAUGUGAUGACAGAUGAAGAAAACAUUUAAAAUUUGACAAAACACCGCUAAGGUGCAGAUGUAGU
RNAcentral lists this long non-coding RNA (229 nucleotides) under Drosophila guanche. Lineage: Eukaryota; Metazoa; Arthropoda; Insecta; Diptera; Drosophilidae. The record is from RNAcentral.